ACCGAGUGCCAGCAUCAUAUGCUGGCUGUCCAGGUGUGUAAAAUACACCUGUCAGCAGGGCCGGGCAAGACCGGUGCCAGCCGCCGCGGUAACACCGGCGGCCCGAGUGGUGAUCGUGAUUAUUGGGUCUAAAGGGUCCGUAGCCGGUUUGGUCAGUCCUCCGGGAAAUCUGACGGCUCAACCGUUAGGCUUUCGGGGGAUACUGCCAGGCUUGGAACCGGGAGAGGUAAGAGGUACUACAGGGGUAGGAGUGAAAUCUUGUAAUCCCUGUGAGACCACCUGUGGCGAAGGCGUCUUACCAGAACGGGUUCGACGGUGAGGGACGAAAGCUGGGGGCACGAACCGGAUUAGAUACCCGGGUAGUCCCAGCCGUAAACGAUGCUCGCUAGGUGUCAGGCAUGGCGCGACCGUGUCUGGUGCCGCAGGGAAGCCGUGAAGCGAGCCACCUGGGAAGUACGGCCGCAAGGCUGAAACUUAA
Molecule: ribosomal RNA, 478 nt
Filed under: uncultured archaeon
Lineage: Archaea
Description: bacterial SSU rRNA
Rfam family: Archaeal small subunit ribosomal RNA
Source: RNAcentral